This 60-nucleotide microRNA precursor is filed under the name Acyrthosiphon pisum (pea aphid). RNAcentral describes it as "microRNA api-mir-184b precursor". Its record names the gene api-mir-184b. Lineage: Eukaryota; Metazoa; Arthropoda; Insecta; Hemiptera; Aphididae. The record is from miRBase by way of RNAcentral.
CUUUAUCAUUCUCUGGUCUUGUGUGAAUUUUAUACUACUGGACGGAGAACUGAUAAAGGA